Molecule: transfer RNA, 111 nt
Filed under: Lachnospiraceae bacterium
Lineage: Bacteria; Bacillati; Bacillota; Clostridia; Lachnospirales; Lachnospiraceae
Description: tRNA-Asp
Rfam family: tRNA
About the family: Transfer RNA (tRNA) molecules are approximately 80 nucleotides in length.
Source: RNAcentral
GGGGCCAUAGCUCAGUGGUAGAGCAUCAGAAUCUUGUCAAAGAUUCUUACAGCAACUUUCUAAAAGGACUGUCAAUCCUCAAACUCUCCGGUUCGAAUCCGGAUGGCCCCG